Molecule: ribosomal RNA, 1338 nt
Filed under: uncultured bacterium
Lineage: Bacteria
Description: bacterial SSU rRNA
Rfam family: Bacterial small subunit ribosomal RNA
Source: RNAcentral
GACGAACGCUGGCGGCGUGCUUAACACAUGCAAGUCGAACGGAAAGGCCUGCAGCUUGCUGCGGGUACUCGAGUGGCGAACGGGUGAGUAACACGUGGGUGAUCUGCCUUGCACUUCGGGAUAAGCUUGGGAAACUGGGUCUAAUACCGGAUAGGACAGCUGUUUAGUGUCAGUUGUGGAAAGUUUUUUCGGUGCAAGAUGAGCUCGCGGCCUAUCAGCUUGUUGGUGGGGUAAUGGCCUACCAAGGCGUCGACGGGUAGCCGGCCUGAGAGGGUGUACGGCCACAUUGGGACUGAGAUACGGCCCAGACUCCUACGGGAGGCAGCAGUGGGGAAUAUUGCACAAUGGGCGGAAGCCUGAUGCAGCGACGCCGCGUGGGGGAUGAAGGCCUUCGGGUUGUAAACUCCUUUCGACAGGGACGAAGCUUUUGUGACGGUACCUGUAUAAGAAGCACCGGCUAACUACGUGCCAGCAGCCGCGGUAAUACGUAGGGUGCGAGCGUUGUCCGGAAUUACUGGGCGUAAAGAGCUCGUAGGUGGUUUGUCGCGUCGUCUGUGAAUUCCGGGGCUUAACUCCGGGCGUGCAGGCGAUACGGGCUGACUUGAGUGCUGUAGGGGAGACUGGAAUUCCUGGUGUAGCGGUGAAAUGCGCAGAUAUCAGGAGGAACACCGAUGGCGAAGGCAGGUCUCUGGGCAGUAACUGACGCUGAGGAGCGAAAGCACGGGUAGCGAACAGGAUUAGAUACCCUGGUAGUCCAUGCCGUAAACGGUGGGCGCUAGGUGUAGGGGGCUUCCACGUCUUCUGUGCCGUAGCUAACGCAUUAAGCGCCCCGCCUGGGGAGUACGGCCGCAAGGCUAAAACUCAAAGGAAUUGACGGGGGCCCGCACAAGCGGCGGAGCAUGUGGAUUAAUUCGAUGCAACGCGAAGAACCUUACCUGGGCUUGACAUAUACAAGACAGGCGUAGAGAUACGUCCUCCCUUGUGGUUUGUAUACAGGUGGUGCAUGGUUGUCGUCAGCUCGUGUCGUGAGAUGUUGGGUUAAGUCCCGCAACGAGCGCAACCCCUAUUGUUAGUUGCCAUCAUUAAGUUGGGCACUCUAGCGAGACUGCCGGUAAUAAACCGGAGGAAGGUGGGGAUGACGUCAAAUCAUCAUGCCCCUUAUGACCUGGGCUACACACGUGCUACAACGGUUGGUACAACGAGUCGCAAGCCGGUGACGGCAAGCUAAUCUCUUAAAGCCAAUCUCAGUUCGGAUUGUAGGCUGCAACUCGCCUACAUGAAGUCGGAAUCGCUAGUAAUCGCGGAUCAGCACGCCGCGGUGAAUACGUUCCCGGGCCU